AAGUCGUAACAAGGUUUCCGUAGGUGAACCUGCGGAAGGAUCAUUAUCGUUGGGCUUCGGCCCAUUCGAGAUAACACCCUUGCCUUUUUGAGUACCUUUUCGUUUCCUCGGCAGGCUCGCCUGCCAACGGGGACCCUUCAAAACGCUUUGUAAUACCUGUAACUGUCUGAUAUAACAAGCAAAAAUCAAAACUUUCAACAACGGAUCUCUUGGUUCUG
This 218-nucleotide unclassified non-coding RNA is filed under the name Sporormiella persica. RNAcentral describes it as "Preussia persica partial internal transcribed spacer region". The stretch from base 1 to 46 matches the Rfam family "Eukaryotic small subunit ribosomal RNA", at positions 1786 to 1831 of the family's 1831-position model. The record is from RNAcentral. Lineage: Eukaryota; Fungi; Ascomycota; Dothideomycetes; Pleosporales; Sporormiaceae.